GCCUUACUUUUAAAAUGCCAUUGCUUGAGAAACAAGAAAACGGCGAGCAAGUGCUGGUGAAAAAUGAAACCUAUCUUCAAAUUUUAAAAAACAAAGAUCAACGGAGGAGACUUGUACAUGAAAUCUGCACCUUUUUGGACAGCAGCCAGUCUGUAAGUACUAUAACUCAUGAAACAAAACUUGUAGCUUCAUGAAAAUUGGUGUUUUUAUACUGAUCAAUUCCUCAGCUUGUCUUCAUUUCAUUUGUAUCUCCUUUUCUCUGUGAAGUAGGGACAAGGUGGAGAAACCUUAGCCCAAUGACUCAUUUAUUAAAUUAAUCCAUGCAGUUUGUUCAUAAGUACACCAUGACAGCAGAAAUGAAUUCUUUAAAAGUCUUUUAAUACUGCCCAUACGUCAGGGCUGUGCCAUCUUGAGAUCCAUCUCAAAGUGAUUUUUGGGGGGUUGUCUGGCCCACAGACGUUAAGCGUCAGUGAAGCAUAAUACCACACAGCCACUAUGAUGUGGGCAAUCCUGUGUACAUAAGCAUUUUGCUUACGUAAGUGCUGAUCACCACUACAAAUGCUCAGGUUAUGCUAGUGCACAGGGGUUCUGAAUGCCUCCUUAUGCAAUCUCCUUAAAAAUGAUACCACUGCGACUGCGGGUCCACUCCCACAUGGGGAAGUGUGUCAGAUACUGUGCAAUUAAGUGACGGCUUUGGACAUCUGAUAAUACUUGACAUUAGCUUCAAGGUGUAAGGAACAACAAAUAGAUUUUGUUUCUUUAUGGUUUGUUUAGGUGCAGGAGAUUGAUGCCCUGAGAACGGAAAACAGGAAGCUCAGAUUUUGUUUCUUUAUUUAUGGUUUGUUUAGGUGCAGGAGAUUGAUGCCCUGAGAACGGAAAACAGGAAGCUAAAAAAUGCGAACUCAAGACUGCGUUAUAAAACAAAAGAUUGGGCCCUCAAGAAAGAAGAAUAUGAAAACGAGAUUGAAAGACUUUCGGGUGAGAUAUCUAAUUAUUUGAAUGUCACCAAUUUCUGGUAUGAAGAGUCUGAACUUCUCAACAACCAAGUUACAGAUAAACGAACCUUAAGUGAACAAAGAAAACAUGUCAGCACUCAGACGGAGGCUAUGUUUGGAAUGGAGAAGCGGACUGUUGAAACUCAGACUGGAGAAGAUUUCUCAAGCUAUGUUCUUGAAGAGUCAUUAUCACAGGUAAGUAAGAUAUAUGGAUCAGACAGUAGGCAAGUAGCUGCUGUACAUAUGCUAUUAUGUUCUCUCAUUCCUGAGCCUCAUCAACUAAUUUGGAAAUAAAAUGUUUUUUGGCUUUGUUUUUAAAUCCGAACACUUAAUAUUUGUUCAAAGCAGAACUCCUUUUUAGUGUACAAUAGAUGCUUAGUGCUGUAUAGAUUAUUGUUGCUCAGAAUGUUUUUAAAAAUAUAUGUUUAAUAUUAUCUUUACAGGAUGAGUUUGAGUAGCAGAAAUCCCGCAUAACCUGAGAAAUGGGGAGCUUUUAUGGUUAAUAUUUUAAAUUUUAUUGAACAUAUUAACAUAUUUAUAGCUAUUUAACUCUAUGACAAAUAAAGAUAUUUUAAUUCUGCUGUGUUUUGAUUAG
This is a long non-coding RNA of Pogona vitticeps (central bearded dragon), 1590 nucleotides long. NCBI's taxonomy places the organism in Eukaryota, Metazoa, Chordata, Lepidosauria, Squamata, Agamidae. The record is from Ensembl.